RNAcentral lists this ribosomal RNA (942 nucleotides) under Triticum aestivum (bread wheat). Its description in RNAcentral is "partial small subunit ribosomal RNA". The record is from RNAcentral. Lineage: Eukaryota; Viridiplantae; Streptophyta; Magnoliopsida; Poales; Poaceae.
AUGAACCAGGAGUUCUCGCUGGAGGUCCGCUCCGCUGCCCACGCCGUUGUUCGGCUAUACGGUUUCCUUCUCACAGUGCCGCCUGAACCGGGGACGGCGGACGACGAGCUCGAUAUGAGCUGCCCCGGCGACGAUGAGCUGGUGGAAAUGGAGUACUCCCCCGAGGGCCGGCGAUUUCUUGGAGGCCCGGCGCCGUGGUUCUCCGCCGCGGGGAGCACGGCCGGCUGCAUGCGGGUCGCCGCCGUGGAGGACCAAGAAGAAGAAGAAGCAGAGUGCAAGGAGAUCCUGGUGCUCUACCGCUACGCCCCUUUCUCGGUAUCAUCGGACGGCGUGGUGGUGCGAGGGAGCACCAGGGCGCACCUGCUCCGGUUCAUGGCCACCGGCGACCACACGGCGAGGUCCCUGGCGUGGGCCGGGUCGUCUCUGAUCCGGCUGAUAUACCCCGGUGACUUCAGCGAGCAGCUCCAGGAGCUAUGGUCGAGCCUGGCGUCGCAGGUGAGCGUGCUGCCGCGCGCCGCGCGUGUCGAGGUGUUCGUCGACGUCGGCAUCCUCCGGAGGUCGUACUACACGCCCGAGCGCAUGGAGUGGAUGCGCUCCGUGCUGGAGGAGACGGUGGAGGAGCCGUGGCCCGUGCGAUUCACCGGCAUGGAGCUGCACCCGGAGCCGAUGCCGCGCGACCAUGAUAAACACGAAGCCGCCGUCGACGACGAUGACACGGACGCCGGUGAACGGCCGGCGAAGCGAAGGAGGGUCGUCGCCGCUGGGAAGGAUUGCCCCAUCUGCUUGCAGCUGCUCGAGGGCGACGACGACCUCGCCGCGUGGCCGGGGUGCGGCAAGCCCCACGUCUUCCAUGGCGCGUGGUUGGAGAGCGUCCUCGUGGACAGCAAGACGUGCCCUAUUUGCAGGCACACGCUGUACGUCGAGUCGACGUUCGGCAAGUAG